GGCGCACGGGUGAGUAAUGCAUCGGAACGUGCCCUGGAAUGGGGGAUAACGUAGCGAAAGUUACGCUAAUACCGCAUAUUCUGUGAGCAGGAAAGCAGGGGAUCGCAAGACCUUGCGUUCUGGGAGCGGCCGAUGUCGGAUUAGCUAGUUGGUGGGGUAAAGGCCUACCAAGGCGACGAUCCGUAGCGGGUCUGAGAGGAUGAUCCGCCACACUGGGACUGAGACACGGCCCAGACUCCUACGGGAGGCAGCAGUGGGGAAUUUUGGACAAUGGGCGGAAGCCUGAUCCAGCCAUGCCGCGUGAGUGAAGAAGGCCU
RNAcentral lists this ribosomal RNA (317 nucleotides) under uncultured bacterium. RNAcentral describes it as "bacterial SSU rRNA". It matches the Rfam family "Bacterial small subunit ribosomal RNA", at positions 97 to 417 of the family's 1533-position model. The record is from RNAcentral.